GAUGAAGAACGUAGCGAAAUGCGAUACUUGGUGUGAAUUGCAGAAUCCCGUGAACCAUCGAGUCUUUGAACGCAAGUUGCGCCCGAAGCCAUUAGGCCGAGGGCACGCCUGCCUGGGCGUCACACGUCGUUGCCCCCCCAUCUACUCCUUCGGGAUUGCGGGGGGCGGAUGAUGGUCUCCCGUGCGCCUCGCCGCGCGGUUGGCAUAAAUGCCAAGUCCUCGGCGACGCACGCCACGACAAUCGGUGGUUGCGAAACCUCGGUUGCCCGUCGUGUGCGGUCGUCGCGCAUCGAGGGCUCGAAAAAAUUGCCGGGUUCCGGCUCGGCUUUCAACGCGACCCCAGGUCAGGCGGGGUUACCCGCUGAAUUUAAGCAUAUCAAUAAGCGGAGGA
This 391-nucleotide unclassified non-coding RNA is filed under the name soil metagenome. Its description in RNAcentral is "partial contains 5.8S ribosomal RNA, internal transcribed spacer 2, and large subunit ribosomal RNA". The stretch from base 1 to 122 matches the Rfam family "5.8S ribosomal RNA", at positions 35 to 154 of the family's 154-position model. The record is from RNAcentral.